Molecule: long non-coding RNA, 1227 nt
Filed under: Homo sapiens (human)
Lineage: Eukaryota; Metazoa; Chordata; Mammalia; Primates; Hominidae
Description: HSALNT0121271
Source: RNAcentral
UUCACAUUUUAAUUGAAUAAAUGUUUUGCAGGAGGAUGUAAAUUUUUUUAAAAAGAUUGUUGUUGAAUAGGACACAUAGGCCAAAAUACAAUCCAGAUAAAAUAACUUUGCUCUAAUAUAUCUACAUAAUUAUUUAAUUCCAUAAUAAAAAUCAUUUAUGUUAUCUGUUUGGCUAAAACAUGUCUCCUCUCUUCAACUUCCAUAUAUGUAGGCAGCAAUUCACAGGGCAAGGAUGUUGCCACGGGGCAAAGAUCCAGGUGAAGGUGGUUUCAGCUUCCACAUUCCUUAGACAGGUCCGAAUUUGGCUGAGACUUUGAGGCCAACUCAGACAUUCCCAGGUGAGUUGCUCCAGGUUGAUGGGAAUGUGAGCUCCCUUUAAGUAUAUCAAAUCUUGUAUUCCAGGGCUUCUCCCAGAAAAUGCGGUCCUCCCAGGUCCUCAUCUAAUUUAUCCCAGAGAAAGAAAAUAUGUCAGCUAUCCACAGCUAGAGAGGUCUGAAAUUAGGGACUAAUCCAUCUCAGGCCUUUGUGCUUGGGGUAAGCCCUGGUGCCAUGAGCCCUCUGCACUGCCUGCUGGCUCAGUGUCUAGGCCUGACCCUUCAGCCCCCUGCCAAUCUCUCCUGGUCCUUGCCUGAUCUGAUUCCCACCCAGUACUCUUACACACCAGGUCCCUGCCUCCAAUGACCUCUUGCCCCUUCCUAAGGAGCUAGAAUGGCCUCAGUCCCCCAUCCCACAGAUGGCUGUGGAAAUCUCACUGGGGAGGGGCACUAAUCUCUCAAACCACAUCCCACUGUGCACCUGACUUUGCAUGUUACCCGUUGCCUGCAUCUCAGGUAUGCCCUACCAGCUGGACUGGGCCUUCGGGGUUAUUGAUAUCUGCCUGAAAUAAAUUCUCACUCUGUGCCUUUAGACUCUGAACGCUAGACCAAAUAUCCUCCCCUGUAAGGGCCAAUCUCAAUAGCAGGGUUGAGUCCAUCUCAACAUCGUCCAUCUUGGUUUUGCAAUCAUUUCCAUCCUCACUGGUCUGCAAGGCUGGAGUCCAGUUGGCUUUGCAGCUGAGGCCAUCUAAGUUAGAAUGUACCCAGCUCGAAGUCACUCUAGGAUAGAACCAGAGUUUUGAAUCAUUCCAAUGCCUUUUCCUGUCUCCUGGAAAAAAAUGCAAAUGCUUGUGAUGCCUGUAUUAAUACCUAAAAAAUUAGCUGGUGCCUUGGGUAUGACCUAGAGUCACUA